UGAGGAAUAUUGGACAAUGGGUGGAAGCCUGAUCCAGCCAUCCCGCGUGUAGGAAGACUGCCCUAUGGGUUGUAAACUACUUUUUUGCAGGAAGAAAUCUAUUCACGAGUGGGUAGUUGACGGUACUGUAAGAAUAAGCAUCGGCUAACUCCGUGCCAGCAGCCGCGGUAAUACGGAGGAUGCGAGCGUUAUCCGGAUUUAUUGGGUUUAAAGGGUCCGUAGGCGGUAGAUUAAGUCAGUGGUGAAAUCCUACAGCUUAACUGUAGAAUUGCCAUUGAUACUGGUUUACUUGAAUUAGGUUGAAGUAGCUAGAAUGUGUAGUGUAGCGGUGAAAUGCAUAGAUAUUACACAGAAUACCGAUAGCGAAGGCAGGUUACUAAGCCUAUAUUGACGCUGAGGG
RNAcentral lists this ribosomal RNA (400 nucleotides) under uncultured bacterium. RNAcentral describes it as "bacterial SSU rRNA". It matches the Rfam family "Bacterial small subunit ribosomal RNA", at positions 355 to 752 of the family's 1533-position model. The record is from RNAcentral.